RNAcentral lists this long non-coding RNA (517 nucleotides) under Fukomys damarensis (Damara mole-rat). RNAcentral describes it as "lncRNA (ENSFDAG00000032047.1)". Lineage: Eukaryota; Metazoa; Chordata; Mammalia; Rodentia; Bathyergidae. The record is from RNAcentral.
GUCAGCUCAGCUUCUGCGCUGCAAGAGUCCUGAGUGCGGAGUGGCCCAGGGCGGCGUGUGUGGAGUGGCCCAGGGCGGCGUGUGUGGGGCGCCAGGUCUUCAGUCUGUAGGUUCUAGUCCGUCUCUGAUGACUAUCUUUGUUACACCUCUGAAGAGGGCACGUCCUCUCGAACUCUAUUAUGGCUGCUUCCUUCCAGGCCAAAUGCUUAGAAUUCCAUUCAUUGCGGGCCUCACAGCAGAAGCAACAGGGGUUUGCUGAGCUACUCAAGCAGACAAGAAUCUCCUGUUUGAGGUUCCUCAGAAGGUAAGCCACACCCCCUCAAAUAUCUUUCCCUGUCCCCUAGUUUUUAUUACCACUAGAAGAUUACAGUGAAUUCCAAGUAUCAGAACCACAUUUUAUUAGGAAAGAAAGGGAGUCACAUUUUUAAUCAGAGGAAGUUUGGUUGAAUCAUGUGGGUGUCGGUGAGGCCAAAGCAUUGAAGGGCCACCACAGGGGACAGAGGGGCUGGGGAUGAGG